Long non-coding RNA from Sitophilus oryzae (rice weevil), 765 nucleotides. RefSeq lists it as uncharacterized. The record is from RefSeq and is a predicted model, not a curated record. The transcript has 3 exons. Lineage: Eukaryota; Metazoa; Arthropoda; Insecta; Coleoptera; Curculionidae.
AAUUAAAAUUUGCAUGUAAUUUUCCAUAAGAGAGAUUUUAUUUUUAAUUUUUAUAUAUUUAAAGUGCUUUUUAGUCACCCAAGUGGACUUUUUUUGAAAAAAUUGUAGUUUUUAAACAACACAAUUGAAAAACUGAUGCUUAUUUACAUCAUGGCAGCAAAAUAUGUAAUUAAAUCGAGCGAAAUUGUCAACUUUUUUAAAGAUGAAGAAAAGCUCAUCAGCAGUGGUGAAAAUGCUGUUGAAUCAGGUCAUGUUACCAAUUUAAUUUGAGAUGCUGAGCUUCAUCUUGUUACAGGAAAAGUUUAUGCAAGCAUGAGGGAUCGUCAAUAUAAUCUUAAGAUUGAUUUUGAUACUGAUUGGGCUAUAAACUCAACAAGUUGUAGCAGCCCUAGAGGUCAGCUAUGCUGAUAUUACAUAGCAGCACUACUUUUUGCUCGGGAUAAUAUUUCCAUUAGUGACAAAACAUUAUAUUCCAUUUUUAUUAGGGGAAAAAACAUACAAGUAAUUAAUGUAUACCUAUAGUAAUACUUGUAAGAUUAUAUUGUUUUUUGGCAUAUUUUUAGUAACAUUUAGAAGUACAUAAUUAUAAUAUUAAAGUAGUAGAUAAUAUAACAUUAAUAUAAAACACUUAAACUUGUUCAUUUAUGAAGUAAAAAUAAACAUGUAAGUACCUACUUACCUACCAUGUUGGUUGAGGGGGACAAACAGUUUGAUUACUCAUAUUUACACAAGGAAGAGCUAGGUAAUAUAUUUAUAAAAUAAAAA